This is a long non-coding RNA of Ictalurus punctatus (channel catfish), 1667 nucleotides long. The record is from Ensembl. NCBI's taxonomy places the organism in Eukaryota, Metazoa, Chordata, Actinopteri, Siluriformes, Ictaluridae.
AUAAUUAGGCGAAUUGGGACGCAGGAUCGGACUUACUAACCGUUCUUGCUUUGUUUUCUCUUAUUUUGCACGUUUGUUUUUUUUUUCUUUAACAGCUAAGAAGCUUCCGAAGAAUGAGCUACAGGGAGGACCAGGUCCUGGGGCACGGGCUCGGGGCGGAGUCGACCUGCAGGAGGCGGCACCUCAGGGCAGAUCCGGCCAGUGCUGCGGAGGAGGAAACUAACCGUCCGUCCAGUCAUGUGGAGACCGUGGCCGAGGAUCAACACAGACCCAUUAUCAACCAACUCAUAGUCUGACAGUUAUGUCUAUUCACAGCCCAAGUGGAAAAUCUAGUCGGUUAGACUGUGGCGUCCAUCAGAUUCUGCUUCUGAACUGACCAAAGGGGCCGUUCACAGUUCACUUGUAAAUAUUUUGACCAAUUAUCCCUCCUACUCCUACCCCUAGGCAGAGCCACGACCACCUCUUUAACAGCUGUAUUUAAGAAGCAGCCACCUGUCAAAAGAAAAAUAAAGAUACAUUUGGGGAAUAAGGAGGGAAACUGAUCAAUUCUGUCGCACUUAACCAGAGCUGUGAGGUUCUUGUUCUAGUCUGUAUUCACACACACGUGCGCGCGCACACACACACCAAAUAAAUAAAUAAUCAACACUGCAGCUGGAGGGAAAACAGGCUUCCUUCUACUUUAUAUCCUCAACCUCUCUCUCUCUAUCUCUCUCUCUAUCUCUCUCUCUCUCUAUCUCUCUCUCCCCUCAGUGCGUUCUGAACUUUCACCUCCUCUCUCCGUCUCUGGCACAGCACCUAACAAGUAUUGAAUUCUUCUUUCCUUCCUGAUCUUCUAAUUUCCAGUGAGAGGAGAAAGACACAUGGGAGUGAGAGGAUGUUUUCCCUUCAAGCGCAGCAUUUCUGUAGAUUCUGUAUUAUUCUUGGUUAUCAUUAUUAUUAUUAUUAUUAUUAUUAUUAUUGUAAUUAUGAAUACCACUACUCCAGGUCUAAUGAAUAUAAACGAUAGAUUAGUUCCCCCUAAAAAUCAUUACCGUAGGAGAUCUUGAACUGUGAAUGCGUAACGCAUUAACAGCUAUAACACCAGUGUCUUUAAGCAUUAAUGAAAUGUGAUUUAUCAAAUCGUUCAAUCAAUCGUUCAAGCUGGUGUUUAAACUCGAAUAACGCAAGGCAAGGUUCGCUUCAUCUGACCAAAAUCAUGUGUGUGUAUAGAAAAAAAAACAAACAAACAACAAAAAAAACCUGUUGCUGUAUUUGUACUUUGUAUUUUCUUUCUCUUUUUUUUUUCUUCUCCUGAAAAAGCAUAUCCAAUCAUUAUCCAUCGUCAAUACAAUACCUUCCCAAAACAGAUCAAUCAUCCAUAUAUUUUUUUUUUUCCUCUUUUCUUUUCGGUGAAAUGAUUUUUGUAACUAAGUUGUCUCUGAGUGCACUGGCUGUUUGACUGUCUUAUGAAUUUUUUUUUUUUUUUUUUUUUGGGGGGGGGGUAUUUUUCCAUUCUUCUUAAGGUAAACUGAUAUUUUUCAUCUUGCAAGUUAGCACAACAGAUCAGAACCGCUGCACUGGCCCCAGUUUGAAAGGGUUUGGACAAAUGUUUUUGUGGUCUUCCAUGGAUGGGGGAUGCAAACAACAAUCUUCUACGUGUAAUUUUACCAAUAAAAAUGGGGAAGGUA